Molecule: regulatory RNA element, 59 nt
Organism: Astyanax mexicanus (Mexican tetra)
Lineage: Eukaryota; Metazoa; Chordata; Actinopteri; Characiformes; Acestrorhamphidae
Rfam family: Selenocysteine insertion sequence 1
About the family: The incorporation of selenocysteine into a protein sequence is directed by an in-frame UGA codon (usually a stop codon) within the coding region of the mRNA. Selenoprotein mRNAs contain a conserved secondary structure in the 3' UTR that is required for the distinction of UGA stop from UGA selenocysteine.
Source: Rfam
UUUACUUAAUGAGGGCGAUGCCCUAAACCUUAAAGGGGCAUCAUCUGAGACGCUGUAAA